GAAAUGCGAUAAGUAGUGUGAAUUGCAGAAUUCAGUGAAUCAUCGAAUCUUUGAACGCACAUUGCACUUCCUGGUAUUCCGGGGAGUAUGCUCGUUUCAGAAUCAUUUAUAACCUCACAACCUUUCUUUGUUUGUUCAAGGAAAGCAAGUGAAUUUGUGCGCUUUUGCCAAUGAACCGGGCAAUCGCAUUAAAAUGAUUGUGUGCUGUAAGCGUGUUAAAACCAUUCUUGACUAACAAUGCUACAAAUCUUUGAAACAUUGUUGGCCAAAGUGUGAUGAGACUGUUUAUGUGCCACCCCAAAGCAACACAGACUCGGAGGGCAGUCGCAAUCCGGGUCUGAAAACUUGGUCUGAAAUCGAGCAAGAAAACCCGCUGAACUUAA
RNAcentral lists this unclassified non-coding RNA (383 nucleotides) under uncultured Chytridiomycota. RNAcentral describes it as "sequence contains ITS1". The stretch from base 1 to 105 matches the Rfam family "5.8S ribosomal RNA", at positions 50 to 154 of the family's 154-position model. The record is from RNAcentral. Lineage: Eukaryota; Fungi; Chytridiomycota.